AUUACAUAGACGAAUCCUGGUGCUCGCAAAUCGCGAGUGAAAAGGGAAUCCAGUGGAAAGCUGGAACGGUCCUCGCCACGGUGAUGUUCGAUGUGCAAGCUAUGGCUUUCAGCCAGCCACUCCGUCCUUGAUGGGGGAAGGCGCUUUGGCACAGAUGAGACUCAGUCCGGAGACCUGCCAGGAUUGGUUGUGCAUC
Molecule: non-coding RNA, 196 nt
Filed under: Alicyclobacillus hesperidum
Lineage: Bacteria; Bacillati; Bacillota; Bacilli; Caryophanales; Alicyclobacillaceae
Source: RNAcentral